UACAGAGGGUGCGAGCGUUGUUCGGAAUUACUGGGCGUAAAGCGCGCGUAGGUGGUGUGUUAAGUCUGCCGGUCAAAUGCCGAGGCUCAACCUCGUUGCACGCCGGGGAUACUGGCACGCUAGAGACAAGUAGAGGCAAGCGGAAUUCCGGGUGUAGCGGUGGAAUGCGUAGAUAUGUGGAGGAACACCGAUGGCGAAGGCAGCCCCCUGGGCUAGUACUGACGCUCAUGCACAAAAGCGUGGGGAGCAAACAGG
This 255-nucleotide ribosomal RNA is filed under the name uncultured bacterium. RNAcentral's name for it is "partial 16S ribosomal RNA". It matches the Rfam family "Bacterial small subunit ribosomal RNA", at positions 524 to 776 of the family's 1533-position model. The record is from RNAcentral.